Molecule: ribosomal RNA, 264 nt
Filed under: uncultured archaeon
Lineage: Archaea
Description: partial 16S ribosomal RNA
Rfam family: Archaeal small subunit ribosomal RNA
Source: RNAcentral
AGACGUCUACAUUAGAUACCCGCGUAGUCCCAGCCGUAAACUAUGCGCGUUAGGUGUAUCGGUGACCACGAGUCACCGAGGUGCCGAAGGGAAACCGUGAAACGUGCCGCCUGGGAAGUACGGUCGCAAGGCUGAAACUUAAAGGAAUUGGCGGGGAGCACCACAACGGGUGGAGCCUGCGGUUUAAUUGGACUCAACGCCCGGAAGCUCACCGGAUAAGACAGCGGAAUGAUUGCCGGGCUGAAGACUCUGCAUGACUAGCUG